GCUUAAUUUUACUUUUUUAAUCACAUAUAUCUAAUUAGGAAUUUAUUAACUAAGGGCACGUACUCAUGUUAGGUAGUUAAAAUUUGUAUAUUAUACACCUAUUUUAGAAAUAUACUUACAAAUAUAUAUCAUCUAACUUUUUUUUGUAAACCAAAGUAUACAAUAAGAAAAAAUUUUAAACUGUUGUAUAACUCAUACUUUGUGUUAUAUUUGGCAUCUGAUCUGCACUAAUAAGUCUGAAGUUUGUCAUACAUGCAGUAAUACAUGGUAAUAGGUUUAAAAUUGAUUUUAAAUGAAAGCAGCGAUAGUUAUUAAACUAGAUUAAUACUAAAAUUAC
This is a non-coding RNA of Cinara cedri, 337 nucleotides long. NCBI's taxonomy places the organism in Eukaryota, Metazoa, Arthropoda, Insecta, Hemiptera, Aphididae. The record is from the annotation of a GenBank genome assembly.